This 460-nucleotide ribosomal RNA is filed under the name uncultured bacterium. RNAcentral describes it as "partial 16S ribosomal RNA". It matches the Rfam family "Bacterial small subunit ribosomal RNA", at positions 338 to 795 of the family's 1533-position model. The record is from RNAcentral.
CCUACGGGUGGCAGCAGUGAGGAAUAUUGGUCAAUGGACGCAAGUCUGAACCAGCCAUGCCGCGUGCAGGAAGACGGCUCUAUGAGUUGUAAACUGCUUUUGUACGAGGGUAAACGCAGAUACGCGUAUCUGUCUGCAAGUAUCGUACGAAUAAGGGUCGGCUAACUCCGUGCCAGCAGCCGCGGUAAUACGGAGGAUUCAAGCGUUAUCCGGAUUUAUUGGGUUUAAAGGGUGCGUAGGCGGUCGGAUAAGUUAGAGGUGAAAUCCCGAGGCUCAACUUCGGAAUUGCCUCUGAUACUGGUCGGCUAGAGAGUAGUUGCGGUAGGCGGAAUGUAUGGUGUAGCGGUGAAAUGCUUAGAGAUCAUACAGAACACCGAUUGCGAAGGCAGCUUACCAGGCUACUUCUGACGUUGAGGCACGAAAGCGUGGGGAGCAAACAGGAUUAGAUACCCGGGUAGUC